AAACCAACCGGGAUUGCCUUAGUAACGGCGAGUGAAGCGGCAAAAGCUCAAAUUUGAAAUCUGGUACCUUCGGUGCCCGAGUUGUAAUUUGGAGAGGGCAACUUUGGGGCCGUUCCUUGUCUAUGUUCCUUGGAACAGGACGUCAUAGAGGGUGAGAAUCCCGUGUGGCGAGGAGUGCGGUUCUUUGUAAAGUGCCUUCGAAGAGUCGAGUUGUUUGGGAAUGCAGCUCUAAGUGGGUGGUAAAUUCCAUCUAAAGCUAAAUAUUGGCGAGAGACCGAUAGCGAACAAGUACAGUGAUGGAAAGAUGAAAAGAACUUUGAAAAGAGAGUGAAAAAGUACGUGAAAUUGUUGAAAGGGAAGGGCAUUUGAUCAGACAUGGUGUUUUGUGCCCUCUGCUCCUUGUGGGUAGGGGAAUCUCGCAUUUCACUGGGCCAGCAUCAGUUUUGGUGGCAGGAUAAAUCCAUAGGAAUGUAGCUUGCCUCGGUAAGUAUUAUAGCCUGUGGGAAUACUGCCAGCUGGGACUGAGGACUGCGACGUAANUCAAGG
Molecule: ribosomal RNA, 546 nt
Filed under: Saccharomyces cerevisiae (brewer's yeast)
Lineage: Eukaryota; Fungi; Ascomycota; Saccharomycetes; Saccharomycetales; Saccharomycetaceae
Description: eukaryotic LSU rRNA
Rfam family: Eukaryotic large subunit ribosomal RNA
Source: RNAcentral